This 18-nucleotide small nuclear RNA is filed under the name Arabidopsis thaliana (thale cress). RNAcentral's name for it is "snRNA_04432". The record is from RNAcentral. Lineage: Eukaryota; Viridiplantae; Streptophyta; Magnoliopsida; Brassicales; Brassicaceae.
AAGGUUCCAUGUGAACGG